This is a small nucleolar RNA of Trichomycterus rosablanca, 155 nucleotides long. RefSeq annotates it as small nucleolar RNA U109. Lineage: Eukaryota; Metazoa; Chordata; Actinopteri; Siluriformes; Trichomycteridae. The transcript has a single exon. The record is from RefSeq and is a predicted model, not a curated record.
UUGCAUGCUGUGGCUGUAUAGCCACAACAAGUCCUCCUCUCCUACUUAUGAGAUCAUGGACAUGUAGAAUCAAGCAUGCUAGAGAAACAUGGAGUUAACAGGGCCACCAGCCUCUCAAGUUCAGGCUGUGUUGGUAGUAUAGCACUCCAACAACU